AUUGAACGCUGGCGGCAUGCCUUACACAUGCAAGUCGAACGGUAACAGGUCUUCGGAUGCUGACGAGUGGCGAACGGGUGAGUAAUACAUCGGAACGUGCCCGAUCGUGGGGGGUAACGGAGCGAAAGCUUUGCUAAUACCGCAUACGAUCUACGGAUGAAAGCAGCGGACCGCAAGGCCUUGCGCGGACGGUGCGGCCGAUGGCAGAUUAGGUAGUUGGUGGGAUAAAAGCUUACCAAGCCGACGAUCUGUAGCUGGUCUGAGAGGACGACCAGCCACACUGGGACUGAGACACGGCCCAGACUCCUACGGGAGGCAGCAGUGGGGAAUUUUGGACAAUGGGCGAAAGCCUGAUCCAGCCAUGCCGCGUGCAGGAUGAAGGCCUUCGGGUUGUAAACUGCUUUUGUACGGAACGAAAAGACUCUUUCUAAUAAAGAGGGUCCAUGACGGUACCGUAAGAAUAAGCACCGGCUAACUACGUG
This 482-nucleotide ribosomal RNA is filed under the name uncultured bacterium. Its description in RNAcentral is "partial 16S ribosomal RNA". It matches the Rfam family "Bacterial small subunit ribosomal RNA", at positions 30 to 507 of the family's 1533-position model. The record is from RNAcentral.